RNAcentral lists this ribosomal RNA (1433 nucleotides) under uncultured organism. RNAcentral's name for it is "16S ribosomal RNA". It matches the Rfam family "Bacterial small subunit ribosomal RNA". The record is from RNAcentral.
CGCUGGCGGCGUGCUUAACACAUGCAAGUCGAACGGAAAGGCCCUGCUUUUGUGGGGUGCUCGAGUGGCGAACGGGUGAGUAACACGUGAGUAACCUGCCCUUGACUUUGGGAUAACUUCAGGAAACUGGGGCUAAUACCGGAUAGGAGCUCCUGCUGCAUGGUGGGGGUUGGAAAGUUUCGGCGGUUGGGGAUGGACUCGCGGCUUAUCAGCUUGUUGGUGGGGUAGUGGCUUACCAAGGCUUUGACGGGUAGCCGGCCUGAGAGGGUGACCGGCCACAUUGGGACUGAGAUACGGCCCAGACUCCUACGGGAGGCAGCAGUGGGGAAUAUUGCACAAUGGGCGGAAGCCUGAUGCAGCAACGCCGCGUGCGGGAUGACGGCCUUCGGGUUGUAAACCGCUUUCGCCUGUGACGAAGCGUGAGUGACGGUAAUGGGUAAAGAAGCACCGGCUAACUACGUGCCAGCAGCCGCGGUGAUACGUAGGGUGCGAGCGUUGUCCGGAUUUAUUGGGCGUAAAGGGCUCGUAGGUGGUUGAUCGCGUCGGAAGUGUAAUCUUGGGGCUUAACCCUGAGCGUGCUUUCGAUACGGGUUGACUUGAGGAAGGUAGGGGAGAAUGGAAUUCCUGGUGGAGCGGUGGAAUGCGCAGAUAUCAGGAGGAACACCAGUGGCGAAGGCGGUUCUCUGGGCCUUUCCUGACGCUGAGGAGCGAAAGCGUGGGGAGCGAACAGGCUUAGAUACCCUGGUAGUCCACGCUGUAAACGGUGGGUACUAGGUGUGGGGUCCAUUCCACGGGUUCCGUGCCGUAGCUAACGCUUUAAGUACCCCGCCUGGGGAGUACGGCCGCAAGGCUAAAACUCAAAGGAAUUGACGGGGCCCCGCACAAGCGGCGGAGCAUGCGGAUUAAUUCGAUGCAACGCGUAGAACCUUACCUGGGUUUGACAUGGAUCGGGAGUGCUCAGAGAUGGGUGUGCCUCUUUUGGGGUCGGUUCACAGGUGGUGCAUGGCUGUCGUCAGCUCGUGUCGUGAGAUGUUGGGUUAAGUCCCGCAACGAGCGCAACCCUUGUUCACUGUUGCCAGCACGUUAUGGUGGGGACUCAGUGGAGACCGCCGGGGUCAACUCGGAGGAAGGUGGGGAUGACGUCAAGUCAUCAUGCCCCUUAUGUCCAGGGCUUCACGCAUGCUACAAUGGCUGGUACAGAGAGUGGCGAGCCUGUGAGGGUGAGCGAAUCUCGGAAAGCCGGUCUCAGUUCGGAUUGGGGUCUGCAACUCGACCUCAUGAAGUCGGAGUCGCUAGUAAUCGCAGAUCAGCAACGCUGCGGUGAAUACGUUCCCGGGGCUUGUACACACCGCCCGUCAAGUCAUGAAAGUUGGUAACACCCGAAGCCGGUGGCCUAACCGUUGUGGGGGAGCCGUCGAAGGUGGGACUGGUAA